CUACGGGAGGCUGCAGUGGGGAAUAUUGCACAAUGGAGGAAACUCUGAUGCAGCAACGCCGCGUGGAGGAUGGCACUUUUCGGAGCGUAAACUCCUUUUAUAUAGGAAGAAGAUGACGGUACUAUAUGAAUAAGCGCCGGCUAACUCCGUGCCAGCAGCCGCGGUAAUACGGAAGGCGCAAGCGUUACUCGGAAUCACUGGGCGUAAAGAGCGUGUAGGCGGAUUAAAAAGUCAGAAGUGAAAUCCUAUAGCUUAACUAUAGAACUGCUUCUGAAACUCUUAAUCUAGAAUAUGGGAGAGGUAGAUGGAAUUUCUGGUGUAGGGGUAAAAUCCGUAGAGAUCAGAAGGAAUACCGAUUGCGAAGGCGAUCUACUAGAACAUUAUUGACGCUGAGACGCGAAAGCGUGGGGAGCAAACAGGAUUAGAUACCCGUGUAGUC
RNAcentral lists this ribosomal RNA (439 nucleotides) under uncultured bacterium. RNAcentral describes it as "partial 16S ribosomal RNA". It matches the Rfam family "Bacterial small subunit ribosomal RNA", at positions 339 to 795 of the family's 1533-position model. The record is from RNAcentral.